GUGCCAGCAGUCGCGGCAACACAAGGAAGACAAGUGUUAUUCAUCUUAAAUCGGUUUAAGGGGUACCUAGACGGUAAAUUAGGCCAUAGUAGGAACGUUUUUACUAGAGUUAUACAUGCAGGGGGAUUGUGUCAGUAUUACCAGAGUAGAGAUGAAAUUUUUUGAUACUGUUAAGACUGGUAAAGGCGAAAGCAAACCUUUAUAUAUUAACUGACGUUGAGGGACGAAGGCUUGGGGAGCAAACAGGAUUAGAUACCCUAAUAGUCCAGGCAGAGAAUUAUGAAUGUCAUAGAUUAUAUACAAUAUAGUUUAUAAAUGAAAGUGUAAGCAUUCCACCUCAAGAGUAAUGUGGCAACGCAGGAACUGAAAUCAUUAGACCGUUUCUGAUACCAGUAGUGAAGUAUGUUGUUUAAUUUGUCGGUCCACAAAGAACCUUACCACAAUUUGAAUAUAUUUAAUAUAUAUAAAUUUAUGUUUAUAUAUUUAUUUAUACAAGCGUUGCAUUGUUGUCUUCAGUUAAUGUUGUGAGACUUU
RNAcentral lists this ribosomal RNA (534 nucleotides) under Cryptothelium sepultum. RNAcentral's name for it is "SSU rRNA". It matches the Rfam family "Bacterial small subunit ribosomal RNA", at positions 505 to 1076 of the family's 1533-position model. The record is from RNAcentral. Lineage: Eukaryota; Fungi; Ascomycota; Dothideomycetes; Trypetheliales; Trypetheliaceae.